CUAAUAUUGAAGAAAUCAGGGUCCCAAUCCCAGUGUCCCCUUCUAAGGUCCAAGCCCUGGACCCUCACAGACUCCACUGAUGUCACUUGAGAUCUCACUGUGGGAGGAAGCUCACAUCAUCAGGAAGCUCGGUGAAGCUUGGGAACGUCAGGAGCGAUGCACUGGAUUUCUCUCUGGCACGCCGCCGCCGUCUUCAUAUUAAACAUCCAAACCGUCCAGCUGGCUGCGCGCUUUCCCGGGGAAGCCGGCCAACGGAAAAGAAGCUGACUGAGAGGAAACCAAGAGUUCACUUCCAUCAAUUACAAAAAAUAUACCUAAAUAUAUAUGAGAGCUUCUGCAUUCAGCAUCUCUCAGAUAGAAAUGAUCCUCCCUGUCAUAUCAUCAUCAUGUUGUCAUCCUUUAACAAUCCUUUUCUUCCACUUUAUG
Long non-coding RNA from Myripristis murdjan (pinecone soldierfish), 426 nucleotides. RefSeq lists it as uncharacterized. The record is from RefSeq and is a predicted model, not a curated record. The transcript has 2 exons. Lineage: Eukaryota; Metazoa; Chordata; Actinopteri; Holocentriformes; Holocentridae.